CUGACCUCAAAUCAGGUAGGACUACCCGCUGAA
RNAcentral lists this ribosomal RNA (33 nucleotides) under Neohypochnicium geogenium. Its description in RNAcentral is "Hypochnicium geogenium partial 28S ribosomal RNA". The record is from RNAcentral. RNAcentral also lists the same sequence under 5 other names. Lineage: Eukaryota; Fungi; Basidiomycota; Agaricomycetes; Polyporales.